Molecule: long non-coding RNA, 1797 nt
Filed under: Malus domestica (apple)
Lineage: Eukaryota; Viridiplantae; Streptophyta; Magnoliopsida; Rosales; Rosaceae
Description: long non-coding RNA (MDOM_LNC006478)
Source: RNAcentral
UCAUCUCAACAGUAAUAAGGUAUGAAUGCAUCAACAUAAAUCAUAUCAGGUGCAAUAAAGUAAUCAACCGGAGGCCCUCUAUUAGCCCGGUUGAACCUAGAGCUCAAAAUCUAUCACUCUCACACUCUGCCGGAGUCACUCCGCGUGACCUGUACGGCCUUCUGCACAUAAGUUACGCUCUAGUGCUUCUCAUAAAUCAUCUGUGCACAUAAUCUAAGGUCACCCACCAGUCGGAAUCUCACUAACACUCUCGCGACUGGCCUGUCGUACCCACUCCGCGUGGACUGUACGACUAGCAUCUACUUGGAUCCAAGGCGAGCGUGCGAUGCGGUGAAUACUAUAAGCACUAAACUAUGGUGCAGGAUUUGAGCUCAAUAUACAUCAACAUCAUCAUAACAGAAAUAACUACUCACGUGUGCGUCCACCGCACCAUUUCAUACAUAUGCAUCAUAAAUCAAUUCUUACCUGUGCGUCCACCGCACCAAUUCAUACAUAUGCAUCAUAAAUCAAUUCUUACCUGUGCGUCCACCGCACCAAUUCAUACAUAUGCAUCAUAUAUUAAUUCAUGCAUGGCAUUUCAACUCACAUUUCUAUAUACUUUUCAUAUCAAUUCUAUGCAUGGUAUUUCACUUCCCGUUUUUCCACAUAACUCAUAUGCAUUUCAUUUUAAACAUAUUUUCAUUUCAAUUCAAUUUCUGGGAAACGUCAAGUUUAUAUAUAUACGGAAAACAAAACUGCCCACUCACCUGGAGUUCGUCCAACAAACUCCCUAGCACCACACACAUCAAGGCGUCACGACGAUCGCCGCCUAGAAUAGUAAUCAAAUCCAACCUCAGAAUUCAUAUCGAUAGAAUAUAUAACUUAUAUAAAAUACGUCACUACGUAGUUCGAUCCGGAAGAUCUGCCACUCAGAUUUUAAAUCCAUAACUUCCAGAGGUCCACAAUAUAUCUCUAGGACAACAUCCUAAAAUUUCAUCACCAUCCAACGGUCAGAUCUCCGUCAAUUAACAAAACUAAGUGACUGUUUACAUUCUAUUUUAUGAACUUACAACUCAAAUUCCGGAAGAUCCGUAAAUCGGAUUCCCAAUCCGUAAGUUCCUAUAAUCCUCAAAUAUUACGUAUUACAACGUAUCAAAGUUUGGUGACGAUCCAACGGUCGGAUCAUCAAUUCACAUUUUCACCUAAUGCGAAAAUUAUAAAACGUUAUUUGAACACCUAACCAACAAUCCUUAAUAACUUUCUCAUACGGUGCUCAAUUUGGGUAUAUGAAUAUACCAAAGUGAUCUACUCGACGUCACGAACGUCGACAUAUUUUUAGAUUAUUUUUUUUGAUGUGCCACGCGCCCCCCACGCGCCAGGACAAGCACGGGGACACGCGCCCCCACGCGCAUCAUCCCCAACCUUGGUUCGCCGGACUGGUUUUUCCGGCGACCGGAAAACUGGAGAAUUUUCAAAUGCUUCGUUCUCCUUCGUUUCUCAACCAUUUUCUUCGUAUAAUAUAUCAAAUUGAAGCCCUCAACAUGUAGAAUCAUAAUAUACUACUUUAAAGCUCUAAAAACUACGAAAUCUUACCGGAAAAAUUCCACAAGAACCGGCCAACUUUGAACGUGGUGAUCCCGACGUCCAAAACUUCCAAACAACAUACUCCGAGCUUCCUUGGGACUUCCUAAAGCUCACUGUGAGCUUAGUUUGGCCUAAAACACAACCAAUUCAAAGCUCAUGAACAGUACACUUUCACGGGGAGUUUAGAAUCUAGGUUUUCCGAAGUAAAACUUACCUGAAAUUGGUGUCUACGUG